This 73-nucleotide transfer RNA is filed under the name Bos taurus (domestic cattle). It matches the Rfam family "tRNA". From Rfam's summary of the family: Transfer RNA (tRNA) molecules are approximately 80 nucleotides in length. Their secondary structure includes four short double-helical elements and three loops (D, anti-codon, and T loops). RNAcentral also lists the same sequence under 5 other names. The record is from Rfam by way of RNAcentral. Lineage: Eukaryota; Metazoa; Chordata; Mammalia; Artiodactyla; Bovidae.
GACUGGAUAACUCAGUCAGUAAAGCAUCAGACUUUUAAUCUGCGGGUCCAGAGUUCCUGUCCCUGUUCAGGCA